RNAcentral lists this ribosomal RNA (503 nucleotides) under uncultured bacterium. RNAcentral describes it as "partial 16S ribosomal RNA". It matches the Rfam family "Bacterial small subunit ribosomal RNA", at positions 30 to 523 of the family's 1533-position model. The record is from RNAcentral.
AUUGAACGCUGGCGGCAGGCCUAACACAUGCAAGUCGAACGGUAGCACAGAGAGCUUGCUCUCGGGUGACGAGUGGCGGACGGGUGAGUAAUGUCUGGGAGACUGCCCGAUGGAGGGGGAUAACUACUGGAAACGGUAGCUAAUACCGCAUAACGUCGCAAGACCAAAGUGGGGGACCUUCGGGCCUCACACCAUCGGAUGCGCCCAGAUGGGAUUAGCUAGUAGGUGGGUAAUGGCUCACCUAGGCGACGAUCCCUAGCUGGUCUGAGAGGAUGACCAGCCACACUGGAACUGAGACACGGUCCAGACUCCUACGGGAGGCAGCAGUGGGGAAUAUUGCACAAUGGGCGCAAGCCUGAUGCAGCCAUGCCGCGUGUAUGAAGAAGGCCUUCGGGUUGUAAAGUACUUUCAGCGGGGAGGAAGGCGGUGGAGUUAAUAACUUCACCGAUUGACGUUACCCGCAGAAGAAGCACCGGCUAACUCCGUGCCAGCAGCCGCGGUAA